RNAcentral lists this ribosomal RNA (497 nucleotides) under uncultured bacterium. Its description in RNAcentral is "partial 16S ribosomal RNA". It matches the Rfam family "Bacterial small subunit ribosomal RNA", at positions 28 to 507 of the family's 1533-position model. The record is from RNAcentral.
GAUGAACGCUGGCGGCGUGCCUAAUACAUGCCAGUCGAGCGAACAGACGAGGAGCUUGCUCCUCUGACGUUAGCGGCGGACGGGUGAGUAACACGUGGAUAACCUACCUAUAAGACUGGGAUAACUUCGGGAAACCGGAGCUAAUACCGGAUAAUAUAUUGAACCGCAUGGUUCAAUAGUGAAAGACGGUUUUGCUGUCACUUAUAGAUGGAUCCGCGCCGCAUUAGCUAGUUGGUAAGGUAACGGCUUACCAAGGCGACGAUGCGUAGCCGACCUGAGAGGGUGAUCGGCCACACUGGAACUGAGACACGGUCCAGACUCCUACGGGAGGCAGCAGUAGGGAAUCUUCCGCAAUGGGCGAAAGCUUGACGGAGCAACGCCGCGUGAGUGAUGAAGGUCUUCGGAUCGCAAAACUCUGUUAUUAGGGAAGAACAAAUGUGUAAGUAACUAUGCACGUCUUGACGGUACCUAAUCAGAAAGCCACGGCUAACUACGUG